GGGGUCGAUUUUGGAUUCGACGGGAUUCUUGAAACCCAAGGUGCAUGCCGAGGUGCGGUUGGCCUCGUAAAAAAGCCGCAUUUUAAUAGUCGCAAACGACGAAAACUACGCAAUCGCCGCCUAAAUAGCGGUUAGAUCGCCUACCUCCAACCCCCCGCCUAUUGGGUGAGGAAUCAGGUAGUCAAGCCAUAUAGGAUCGCGUGGCGUCUUCUCCAGUAGACAAAGCGUUAAAACUAAUCUGGAUCGCCCUAGCAAAGCCUGCCGCUCGGCGCUGCGAAGGGUUAACUAAAAGAGUCGGCUAAGCAUGUAGUACCGAGGAUGUAGGUUUUUCGGACGGGGGUUCAACUCCCCCCGACUCCACCA
RNAcentral lists this transfer-messenger RNA (363 nucleotides) under Ferrimonas sediminum. RNAcentral's name for it is "Standard tmRNA". It matches the Rfam family "transfer-messenger RNA". Rfam says of the family: Bacterial tmRNA, also known as 10Sa RNA or SsrA, is named for its dual tRNA and mRNA-like properties. Its role is to liberate the mRNA from a stalled ribosome. The record is from RNAcentral. Lineage: Bacteria; Pseudomonadati; Pseudomonadota; Gammaproteobacteria; Alteromonadales; Ferrimonadaceae.